GACGUAGGGCGCGAGCGUUGUCCGGAUUUAUUGGGCGUAAAGAGCUCGUAGGCGGCUCGUUGCGUCGGCUGUGAAAACCCGCAGCUCAACUGUGGGCUUGCAGCUGAUACGGGCGGGCUGGGAUUCGGUAGGGGAGACUGGAAUUCCUGGUGUAGCGGUGAAAUGCGCAGAUAUCAGGAGGAACACCGGUGGCGAAGGCGGGUCUCUGGGCCGAUAUCGACACUGAGGUGCGAAAGCGUGGGGAGCAAACAGG
This 253-nucleotide ribosomal RNA is filed under the name uncultured bacterium. RNAcentral's name for it is "partial 16S ribosomal RNA". It matches the Rfam family "Bacterial small subunit ribosomal RNA", at positions 524 to 776 of the family's 1533-position model. The record is from RNAcentral.